AUGGUCAUAAUGAAAUUAAAAAAUUCAAACCAUUAUUCUCGUGUUUUAGUGGACGGGAAGUUUUAUCUGGAUUAUAAUAUAUUUCAACGUUUAUGGCCAGUCGGAACAUAAUAACCUUAUGUUAUCAAAUCUUAUUACAUUAAAAAAUAACCAAUGGCGAAAAUAAAACAAAAUAAAAAGAAUUCAGAAUUUUAUUUACACACAUACAGUUUGGGUUACAGGAACAAAUUAACCCACCGAAUUUACAUUAACUUUCCCUUUUCAGUAUACUACACGAAAUCGCAACGCGGUAAAAAACUGAUAUACAUCGACGGCUACACAUACUACAGCUACCGCGUGACCGGCGCGAAGGAGCGAUGGAAGUGCACCAACCACCGCUGCGGCGGGUUCAUGACGAUCAUUGGGAGUCAAGUGAUACGUCUGCGAGCGAUACUCCAAAUAAAAUAAAAUAAAGAUAAAAAAAGACUGUAGAUGAAUUAUAUUAAAGAAGGUUUUUUUUAA
Cydia pomonella (codling moth) is the source of this 501-nucleotide long non-coding RNA. RefSeq lists it as uncharacterized. The transcript has 2 exons. NCBI's taxonomy places the organism in Eukaryota, Metazoa, Arthropoda, Insecta, Lepidoptera, Tortricidae. The record is from RefSeq and is a predicted model, not a curated record.